Long non-coding RNA from Eucalyptus grandis, 1075 nucleotides. RefSeq lists it as uncharacterized. The record is from RefSeq and is a predicted model, not a curated record. Lineage: Eukaryota; Viridiplantae; Streptophyta; Magnoliopsida; Myrtales; Myrtaceae. The transcript is spliced from 3 exons.
CUUUUACUAUCUGAGAGUGCUCCGGUUAACAUACAUGCAACAAAGUUUCUUAAUUCCCCUACGUUGUUCAAGAACCAAAAUCUCCCUCCUUCACCUCCUCUCAAAGGUACUAGAUAUGGCCCUUCAAUGGCUGAUAAAAGUAUGUGUCCCGGCCGUGAUGGUGCAACGGUUGACAAGAUGUCUUUUGUCCGAAGGGAUGACAUAGGAAGACCUCCUGGGUUAAAAAAAUCAUCUGAAAGUUCAGCAAAUAUCUCCUAUUCCAGAAGCUCCGGCUUGGUCUUUCAAUGAUGAUUUUGAUGAGCCCGAGUACACUUGUGCAUUCGAUGUGGCUGAAGAUGUUGUGACUGAUCCAGGUAGCAGAGCGGAUUUAUUCGAUAAAAGAAGACAUGCGCACGAUCCACUCCAGUCUGGUUCAUUUAUGCCAAUCAGAAAAUCUCAGGGUGCUGCUGUUGGAGCUCUUGUGGAUAUGUUGAAGAAAGCUCCUCCUCUUCACCAAGACGUCUCAAAUUUGGCAACAGCUUCACAAGCCUCUGGAUCUGAGACCUGGAGCAACACCGUUCAUGAGUAUUGCCAGACCCCUAAAUCCAUAUCAGCUCAGGAUGGCAAUUCAAGCGUUGCAUCCUCUGCUUUUCUUGCGUCCAAGACGACAGCUGAUGCCUUGGAAGAACUUAAGGGUUAUAAGGAGAUGAAGAAUUUAUUGCUUUCUCAAGGGAGUAGGGGUAGGUCACAGAGUGUGACCAAUCAUGCUGCUGCUGUAGAAUCUGCUGGUGAAGGUACCGUCAAAUUUUAGCAGAGGUACCUGUGGAAUUCACUGCUGACCGACCUCAAAUCUUUUUACACAUGUACAGACAAGCAUCAUGAGAUUGAGUUAGCAGCUGAGUCCUACUGUUCAUAUUUAAUCCGUACAUACUUAAUACCUGCUAUUGGAAAUACUAACCGGUGCUUUCGCUUUAUAACAUGACGAAUCACCAUGGAGGAAGUAUACCCUACUUUGUACAGAGACCUUACCCUAUUGCUUUGUUUUUCUUACUUAUGGUUUCAAUCUGCUGCUGGUGUGAUUAUCAGCAGAUUGUUA